CCUGGCUCCAGGCAGAGCGGCAGGAAAGGAGCCGAGCUCGCUGGCAGGAGCAGCCGGGAGUUUCUGCUGGCGUGAAAUGGGAGACACAUUAUCCAACAAACACAGAGAGGUCUGCCUGGAAGUUUUAAGAGGAUGCUGAGGAGUGAAGCACAGCUCACCUGGAUGUGUAACCAUCAAUAGAAGCACAGCAGGAAUAAUUCCCCUCUCAAACUUGACCCUGCUUGGGGAAUGGCCAUGUCACUGUCAGCAGCCAAUCCCACACGUUGCAGGUGUUUAGGACAGAUAAUUCCUGCUUUUCCAUGGGAUAUCACCCACGAGGGUCAUACAACAGCAGCAAGGAAAACAAAAUAUACCCAGCUCACUGGGAUGUGUAUGGGUUUGACAAGGCUGCCCUCUGCUGAGAACAGCCCUGGGAGAAUUGAUCAA
Long non-coding RNA from Calypte anna (Anna's hummingbird), 426 nucleotides. RefSeq lists it as uncharacterized. The record is from RefSeq and is a predicted model, not a curated record. NCBI's taxonomy places the organism in Eukaryota, Metazoa, Chordata, Aves, Apodiformes, Trochilidae. The transcript is spliced from 3 exons.